GUGGGGAAUUUUGGACAAUGGGCGAAAGCCUGAUCCAGCAAUGCCGCGUGCAGGAUGAAGGCCCUCGGGUUGUAAACUGCUUUUGUACGAAACGAAAAGCCUGGGGCUAAUAUCCCCGGGUCAUGACGGUACCGUAAGAAUAAGCACCGGCUAACUACGUGCCAGCAGCCGCGGUAAUACGUAGGGUGCAAGCGUUAAUCGGAAUUACUGGGCGUAAAGCGUGCGCAGGCGGUUUUGUAAGACAGUGGUGAAAUCCCCGGGCUCAACCUGGGAACUGCAUUGGUGACUGCAAGGCUGGAGUGCGGCAGAGGGGGAUGGAAUUCCGCGUGUAGCAGUGAAAUGCGUAGAUAUGCGGAGGAACACCGAUGGCGAAGGCAAUCCCCUGGGCCUGCACUGACGCUCAUGCACGAAAGCGUGGGGAGCAAACAGGAUUAGAUACCCCUGUAGUCC
Molecule: ribosomal RNA, 450 nt
Filed under: uncultured bacterium
Lineage: Bacteria
Description: partial 16S ribosomal RNA
Rfam family: Bacterial small subunit ribosomal RNA
Source: RNAcentral